Molecule: ribosomal RNA, 626 nt
Filed under: uncultured bacterium
Lineage: Bacteria
Description: bacterial SSU rRNA
Rfam family: Bacterial small subunit ribosomal RNA
Source: RNAcentral
GUUGGUGAGGUAACGGCUCACCAAGGCGACGAUCGGUAGCUGGUCUGAGAGGAUGAUCAGCCACAUUGGGACUGAGACACGGCCCAAACUCCUACGGGAGGCAGCUCUGGGGAAUAUUGGACAAUGGGCGCAGGCCUGAUCCAGCCAUGCCGCGUGAGUGAUGAAGGCCCUAGGGUUGUAAACCUCUUUCAGCAGGGAAGAAGCGAAAGUGACGGUACCUGCAGAAGAAGCACCGGCUAACUACGUGCCAGCAGCCGCGGUAAUACGUACGGUGCGAGCGUUGUCCGGAAUUAUUGGGCGUAAAGAGCUUGUAGGCGGUUUGUCGCGUCUGCCGUGAAAAUCCGGGGCUCAACCCCGGACUUGCGGUGGGUACGGGCAGACUAAGAGUGUGCUAGGGGAGACUGGAAUUCCUGGCGUAGCGGUGAAAUGCGCAGAUAUCAAGAGGAACACCGAUGGCGAAGGCAGGUCUCUGGGCCACUACUGACGCUGAGAAACGAAAGCGUGGGGAGCGAACAGGAUUAGAUACCCUGGUAGUCCACGCCGUAAACGUUGGGAACUAGGUGUGGGCCUCAUUCCACGAGGUCUGUGCCGCAUCUAAUGCAUUUAAGUUCCCCGCCUCGCGGAGU